UUCCCGCAGCCCCAGGUCCAUCCUCUGGCUCCCCCCAACAGGCAGCCUCAGAAGGGAGAUGGGACGGUGCCUGGGGUCCUGGGCAGGGACCAGAGCCUCUGGAUCCUGGUGGUCUGGUCUCCUGGGCAGAGAUGCUCCUGCAGCUGUCCCUGACAGCGGCCAGGUGUAUCUGCAAACUGCUCCCUGAGUCAGAGGCCCGGGAACUGAGGACAUAUGAUAAGAAGGACCCUCAGGGACGUCUUGGGAGAUCUGUGGCCUUUGCUGGACAGACUUCAUCCUGAAACUCACAAGGUGUCCUUCAUAUACCUCUUUUCUGCCUCCAAAGUGGCCGUUCAGCCCACACUUCCGGCAUCUUCUGCAGCCCUUGUCCUAUGGCCACGUUGUUUAUGGUUGAGGUGCUGUUUAACUUUGAAUCUUUCCUCCUCGAAUAUCUGGGAGUGUUAAAAGGAUGCCAACAUCAUUCUGGCGGUGGAAUUCAAGUUGAAAUGCAGCCAGAACGUGGAACGCUGAGAAGCUGAUGCGUUUCCGGCGGACACAACAUCUUUGUUUGUAUGUGGUGCUGAGGAUCGAACCCGGGCCACACGCAUGCCAGGCGAGCGCGCUACCACUUGAGCCACAUCCCCAGCCCCAAGUAAAUAAAGUUUUAUUGGCACACAGCCA
Molecule: long non-coding RNA, 660 nt
Organism: Marmota monax (woodchuck)
Lineage: Eukaryota; Metazoa; Chordata; Mammalia; Rodentia; Sciuridae
Exons: 3
Source: RefSeq, a predicted model, not a curated record